GUUAUGACUGGUUUCAUAAAGGGGCUAUGACUGGUUUUAUAAAGGGGUUAUGACUGGUUUCAUAAAGGGGCUAUGACUGGUUUUAUAAAGGGGCUAUUACUGGUUUUAUGAAGGGGCUAUGACUGGUUUUAUAAAGGGGCUAUAACUGGUUCUAUAAAGGUGCUAUUACUGGUUUUAUAAAGGGGCUAUGACUGAUUUUAAAAAGGGCUGUUACUGGUUUUAUAAAGGGGCUAUGACUGGUUUUAUAAAGGGGCUGUUACUGGUUUUAUAAAGAGGCUAUGACUGGUUUUAUAAAUUGGCUAUGACUGGUUUUAUAAAGGGGCUUUGACUGGUUCUAUAUAGUGGCUAUUACUGGUUUUAUAAAGGGGCUAUUACUGGUUUCAUAAAGGGGCUAUAACUGCUUUUAUAAAGGAGCUAUGACUGGUUUUAUAAAGGGGCUAUGACUGGUUUUAUAAAGGGGUUCUAUAAAGGGGCUAUGACUGGUUUUAUAAAGGGGCUAUGACUGGUUUUAUAACAAUGAUAUGACUGGUUUUAUAAAGGGGCUAUUACUGGUUUCAUAAAGGUCUUAUGACUGGUUCUAUAAAGGUCUUAUGACUGGUUUCAUAAAGGGGCUAUGACUGGUUUCAUAAAGGGGCUAUGACUGGUUUUAUAAAUGGGCUAUUACUGGUUUCAUAAAGGGGCUAUGACUGGUUUUAUAAAGGGGCUAUUACUGGUUUUAUAAAGGGGCUAUGACUGGUUUUAUAAAGGGGCUAUGACUGGUUAUAUAAAGGGGCUAUAACUGGUUCUAUAAAGGUGCUAUUACUGGUUUUAUAAAGGGGCUAUGACUGAUUUUAAAAAGGGCUGUUACUGGUUUUAUAAAGGGGCUAUGACUGGUUUUAUAAAGGGGCUGUUACUGGUUUUAUAAAGAGGCUAUGACUGGUUUUAUAAAUUGGCUAUGACUGGUUUUAUAAAGGGGCUUUGACUGGUUCUAUAUAGUGGCUAUUACUGGUUUUAUAAAGGGGCUAUUACUGGUUUCAUAAAGGGGCUAUAACUGCUUUUAUAAAGGAGCUAUGACUGGUUUUAUAAAGGGGCUAUGACUGGUUUUAUAAAGGGGCUAUGACUGGUUUUAUAAAUUGGCUAUGACUGGUUUUAUAAAGGGGCUUUGACUGGUUCUAUAUAGUGGCUAUUACUGGUUUUAUAAAGGGGCUAUUACUGGUUUCAUAAAGGGGCUAUAACUGCUUUUAUAAAGGAGCUAUGACUGGUUUUAUAAAGGGGCUAUGACUGGUUUUAUAAAGGGGUUCUAUAAAGGGGCUAUGACUGGUUUUAUAAAGGGGCUAUGACUGGUUUUAUAACAAUGAUAUGACUGGUUUUAUAAAGGGGCUAUUACUGGUUUCAUAAAGGUCUUAUGACUGGUUCUAUAAAGGUCUUAUGACUGGUUUUAUAAAGGGGCUAUUACCGGUUUUAU
Molecule: non-coding RNA, 1444 nt
Organism: Oncorhynchus mykiss (rainbow trout)
Lineage: Eukaryota; Metazoa; Chordata; Actinopteri; Salmoniformes; Salmonidae
Source: RefSeq, a predicted model, not a curated record